This 435-nucleotide ribosomal RNA is filed under the name uncultured bacterium. Its description in RNAcentral is "bacterial SSU rRNA". It matches the Rfam family "Bacterial small subunit ribosomal RNA", at positions 330 to 757 of the family's 1533-position model. The record is from RNAcentral.
UCCAGACUCCUACGGGAGGCAGCAGUGGGGAAUAUUGCACAAUGGGCGCAAGCCUGAUGCAGCCAUGCCGCGUGUAUGAAGAAGGCCUUCGGGUUGUAAAGAACUUUCAGCGGGGAGGAAGGCGAUAAGGUUAAUAACCUUGUUGAUUGACGUUACCCGCAGAAGAAGCACCGGCUAACUCCGUGCCAGCAGCCGCGGUAAUACGGAGGGUGCAAGCGCUAAUCGGAAUUACUGGUCGUAAAGCGCACGCAGGCGGUCUGUCAAGUCGGAGGUGAAAUCCCCGGGCUCAACCUGGGAACUGCAUUCGAAACUGGCAGGCUGGAGUCUUGUAGAGGGGGGUAGAAUUCCAGGGGUAGCGGUAAAAUGCGAGAAGAUCUGGAGGAAUACCGGUGGCGAAGGCGGCCCCCUGGACAAAGACUGACGCUCAGGUGCGAA